GAACUUUCCAGAGAUGGAUUGGUGCCUUCGGGAACUGUGAGACAGGUGCUGCAUGGCUGUCGUCAGCUCGUGUUGUGAAAUGUUGGGUUAAGUCCCGCAACGAGCGCAACCCUUAUCCUUUGUUGCCAGCGGUUAGGCCGGGAACUCAAAGGAGACUGCCAGUGAUAAACUGGAGGAAGGUGGGGAUGACGUCAAGUCAUCAUGGCCCUUACGACCAGGGCUACACACGUGCUACAAUGGCGCAUACAAAGAGAAGCGACCUCGCGAGAGCAAGCGGACCUCAUAAAGUGCGUCGUAGUCCGGAUUGGAGUCUGCAACUCGACUCCAUGAAGUCGGAAUCGCUAGUAAUCGUGGAUCAGAAUGCCACGGUGAAUACGUUCCCGGGCCUUGUACACACCGCCCGUCACACCAUGGGAGUGGGUUGCAAAAGAAGUAGGUAGCUUAACCUUCGGGAGGGCGCUUACCACUUUGUGAUUCAUGACUGGGGUGAAGUCGUAACAAGGUAACCGUAGGGGAACCUGCGGUUGGAUCACCUCCUUACCUUAAAGAAGC
RNAcentral lists this ribosomal RNA (552 nucleotides) under Salmonella enterica. RNAcentral describes it as "bacterial SSU rRNA". It matches the Rfam family "Bacterial small subunit ribosomal RNA", at positions 993 to 1533 of the family's 1533-position model. The record is from RNAcentral. Lineage: Bacteria; Pseudomonadati; Pseudomonadota; Gammaproteobacteria; Enterobacterales; Enterobacteriaceae.